This 410-nucleotide ribosomal RNA is filed under the name uncultured microorganism. RNAcentral describes it as "bacterial SSU rRNA". It matches the Rfam family "Bacterial small subunit ribosomal RNA", at positions 509 to 917 of the family's 1533-position model. The record is from RNAcentral.
CAGCAGCCGCGGUAAUACGGAGGGCGCGAGCGUUGUCCGGAUUCACUGGGCGUAAAGCGUGCGCAGGCGGCCCGUUAAGACAGGUGUGAAAUCCCUGGGCUCAACCUAGGAAUUGCGCUUGUGACUGGCGGGCUCGAGUACGGUAGAGGGGGGUGGAAUUCCUGGUGUAGCAGUGAAAUGCGUAGAGAUCAGGAGGAACACCGAUGGCGAAGGCAGCCCCCUGGGCCUGUACUGACGCUCAUGCACGAAAGCGUGGGGAGCAAACAGGAUUAGAUACCCUGGUAGUCCACGCCCUAAACGAUGGGUACUAGCCGUUUGGUGCGCGAGAGCGCUGAGUGGCGAAGCUAACGCGUGAAGUACCCCGCCUGGGGAGUACGGCCGCAAGGUUGAAACUUAAAGGAAUUGGCGGG